RNAcentral lists this RNase P RNA (331 nucleotides) under Fusibacter paucivorans. Its description in RNAcentral is "RNase P RNA component class A". It matches the Rfam family "Bacterial RNase P class A". Rfam says of the family: Ribonuclease P (RNase P) is a ubiquitous endoribonuclease, found in archaea, bacteria and eukarya as well as chloroplasts and mitochondria. Its best characterised activity is the generation of mature 5'-ends of tRNAs by cleaving the 5'-leader elements of precursor-tRNAs. Lineage: Bacteria; Bacillati; Bacillota; Clostridia; Eubacteriales; Fusibacteraceae. The record is from RNAcentral.
UGAGUAAAUCAGAUAAUCGCGUGAAAACGAGGAAAGUCCGAGCUCCAUAGAGCAAGGGUGCUGGGUAAUCCCCAGUGGAGGCGACUCCAAGGAUAGUGCAACAGAAAUAGACCGCCCGAAAGGGUAAGGAUGGAAAGGCGAGGUAAGAGCUCACCAGCGCACUGGCGACUUUGCGGCUCUGUAAACCCCACCCGGAGCAAGACCAAGAACGGGCUUUAAAAAGGGACGGCUCGUCCCGCCCUAAUGGUAGGUCGCUUGAGCCCUUCGGCAACGAUGGGCCUAGAUAGAUGAUUAUCCAAUACAGAACUCGGCUUAUAGAUUUACUCACCAA